UCGGUGGAGCUUGUAGCGGAAGCGGCGGACGGGUGAGUAACGCGUAGGCAACCCGCCCUAGCUGGGGGGAGCCACGGGAACCGUGACAAACCUCAUAAUGCGGAGGGGUACAUGACUCCUCGCCAAAUCAUCGGCUAUGGUGGGCCUGCGUUGAUAGGUAGUGGUGGGGUAACGGCUCACCAAGCCUACGAUCAGUAACCGACCUGAGAGGGUAAUCGGUCACAUUGGAACUGAACACGGUCCAAACUCCUACGGGAGGCAGCAGUGGGGAAUAUUGCACAAUGGGCGCAAGCCUGAUGCAGCAACGCCGCGUGAGCGAAGAAAGUCCUAUGGAUUGUAAAGCUCUGAUCUGGGGAAAGAUAAUGACGGUACCCCAGGARAAAGCCCCGGCUAACUCCGUGCCAGCAGCCGCGGUAAUACGGAGGGGGCGAGCGUUAUCCGGAAUUAUUGGGCGUAAAGAGUGCGUAGGUGGUUUUCUAAGCGAGGGGUGAAAGGCAAGUGGCUCAACCAUUGUAAGCCCUUCGAACUGGAUGACUUGAGUGCAGGAGGGGAAAUGUGGAAACUCCUAGUGUAGCGGUGAAAAUGCGUAGAUAUUAGGAAAGAAACACCGGUGGCGGAAGGCGGCGUUUCUGGACUGUAACUGACACUGAGGCACGAAAAGCGUGGGGAGCAAACAGGAUUAGAUACCCCUGGUAGUCCACGCCGUAAACGAUGAGCACUAGGUGUCGGGGCCUAGGGGCCUCGUGCCGCGGUUGCGCGUUGGUGCUCCGCC
This 772-nucleotide ribosomal RNA is filed under the name uncultured bacterium. RNAcentral's name for it is "bacterial SSU rRNA". It matches the Rfam family "Bacterial small subunit ribosomal RNA", at positions 77 to 873 of the family's 1533-position model. The record is from RNAcentral.